RNAcentral lists this ribosomal RNA (408 nucleotides) under uncultured prokaryote. RNAcentral's name for it is "partial 16S ribosomal RNA". The record is from RNAcentral.
CCCUAUGGGGCGCACCAGGCAGCUUGAAGUGAUCCGGCCGGCAGUUAUCGGCAGGGCUUUGGAUGUGGAAGCCAGCGUGGAAGCGAUUACCACCAAACUGCCCGCCGGUGAGCAUGAAAUCGCUUUGGUUCUCAAGCAGGUAGACCCGGCAGUGAAGGACGAUACAACAGGGGAAUCGCUUGGCAUUACUGAAUUGGUUGUUGCUGAGACCUCCUAUUUUUAUGGCUCUGAUCCUGCUCGCAUCCAAAAUAUUAGCGCUGCAGCCAGCAGUUUUCACGGCUUAUUGAUUCCACCCGGUGCCACCUUCUCUAUGGCGAGCGAACUGACUGAUAUCAGCCUGGAGAAUGGCUAUGCUGAAGCCUUGAUCAUUGUAGGGAAAGAAACCGUCAAAGGAAUUGGCGGGGGGGC